RNAcentral lists this ribosomal RNA (497 nucleotides) under uncultured bacterium. Its description in RNAcentral is "partial 16S ribosomal RNA". It matches the Rfam family "Bacterial small subunit ribosomal RNA", at positions 28 to 507 of the family's 1533-position model. The record is from RNAcentral.
GAUGAACGCUGGCGGCGUGCCUAAUACAUGCAAGUCGAGCGAACAGACGAGGAGCUUGCUCCUCUGACGUUAGCGGCGGACGGGUGAGUAACACGUGGAUAACCUACCUAUAAGACUGGGAUAACUUCGGGAAACCGGAGCUAAUACCGGAUAAUAUAUUGAACCGCAUGGUUCAAUAGUGAAAGACGGUUUUGCUGUCACUUAUAGAUGGAUCCGCGCCGCAUUAGCUAGUUGGUAAGGUGACGGCUUACCAAGGCAACGAUGCGUAGCCGACCUGAGAGGGUGAUCGGCCACACUGGAACUGAGACACGGUCCAGACUCCUACGGGAGGCAGCAGUAGGGAAUCUUCCGCAAUGGGCGAAAGCCUGACGGGGCAACGCCGCGUGAGUGAUGAAGGUCUUCGGAUCGUAAAACUCUGUUAUUAGGGAAGAACAAAUGUGUAAGUAACUAUGCACGUCUUGACGGUACCUAAUCAGAAAGCCACGGCUAACUACGUG